CCCGCACAAGCGGUGGAUGAUGUGGAUUAAUUCGAUGCAACGCGAAAAACCCUACCUACCCUUGACAUGGAUGGAAUCCUGAAGAGAUUUGGGAGUGCUCGAAAGAGAACCAUCACACAGGUGCUGCAUGGCUGUCGUCAGCUCGUGUCGUGAGAUGUUGGGUUAAGUCCCGCAACGAGCGCAACCCUUGUCAUUAGUUGCUACGAAAGGGCACUCUAAUGAGACUGCCGGUGACAAACCGGAGGAAGGUGGGGAUGACGUCAAGUCCUCAUGGCCCUUAUGGGUAGGGCUUCACACGUCAUACAAUGGUACAUACAGAGGGCCGCCAACCCGCGAGGGGGAGCUAAUCCCAGAAAGUGUAUCGUAGUCCGGAUUGGAGUCUGCAACUCGACUCCAUGAAGUUGGAACCGCUAGUAAUCGCGGAUCAGCAUGUCGCGGUGAAUACGUUCCCGGGUCUUGCACACACCGCCCGUCACACCAUGGGAGCGGGUUUUACCAGAAGUGGGUAGCCUAACCGCAAGGAGGGCGCUCACCACGGUAGGAUUCGUGACUGGGGUG
This 558-nucleotide ribosomal RNA is filed under the name uncultured bacterium. RNAcentral describes it as "bacterial SSU rRNA". It matches the Rfam family "Bacterial small subunit ribosomal RNA", at positions 920 to 1482 of the family's 1533-position model. The record is from RNAcentral.